Molecule: long non-coding RNA, 726 nt
Organism: Cebus imitator (Panamanian white-faced capuchin)
Lineage: Eukaryota; Metazoa; Chordata; Mammalia; Primates; Cebidae
Exons: 3
Source: RefSeq, a predicted model, not a curated record
GUUUCACCUUGUUGACCAGGAUGGUCUCGAUCUCUUGACCUCGUGAUCCACCGGCCUCGGCCUCCCAAAGUGCUGGGAUUAUAGGCGUGAGCCACUGCGCCUGGCCAAGGGGGGAUUCUCUUAAAAACAGACCAAGGAACAGUCAAAAGGAAGCAUUUCUCAAGGAAGGGGAGCCAGCCACUGCUGUUAUUUCAAGCUCAUCAAUUUAGUUCUAAAUUAUAGCUGACACUCUGUCUAGGUGUACUUCUUCACUUAAAAUGUAUGCUGCAAUACCACAGUGUGAUUAGAAAGCCAUGUUAUCUCCACUUUCCCUCCCUUAUCCUCCUCAAACCAGUGCUUUUCAGAGGGUUGACCCUUAGGAAUAGAGGUUCUUUGAACUUCUUGCAAGGCGAGAGUGGUAAUCGUGCCUUCCACUAAGAGUCACUGUGCUUCAGCGUGGCUUCCAAGCUGCACUACUGCAGCCCUGCUGGAAUGGCAAGAUUGGCAGGGAAGAACGUUUAAAGCCUUGCCCCUCUGUUCUUCCUCCAGUACAGGUUACUUCAUCCUGGCCCAGGUACAGCAGCUCCAAAUCAUGGGGAUUCUGUUGGCGCACAGCUUGAGCAAAAAGGAGGAUUGCUCAGCAGUCACUGUGAAAUUUUGUGGGCAACAAGUUAAGUGCACACAUGAUCCUUGAUUUAGAGUCAACGUGAUCUCCACUACAGCUGUGAAAAGUGUGAGUAACAAAAG